GAGUCAAGUCAGCAUGACCUUUAUAUCCAGGGCUACACACACGCUACAAUGGUCUGUACAAUGGGUAGCCAAGCCGCGAGGCGGAGCCAAUCCUGAAACGCAGGCCUCAGUUCAGAUUGCAGUCUGCAACUCGACUGCAUGAAGCCGGAGUUGCUAGUAACCGCAGGUCAGCAAUACUGCGGUGAAUACGUUCCCGGGUCUU
RNAcentral lists this ribosomal RNA (202 nucleotides) under uncultured Anaerolineaceae bacterium. Its description in RNAcentral is "partial 16S ribosomal RNA". It matches the Rfam family "Bacterial small subunit ribosomal RNA", at positions 1182 to 1382 of the family's 1533-position model. The record is from RNAcentral. Lineage: Bacteria; Bacillati; Chloroflexota; Anaerolineae; Anaerolineales; Anaerolineaceae.